Long non-coding RNA from Pygocentrus nattereri (red-bellied piranha), 562 nucleotides. RefSeq lists it as uncharacterized. The transcript is spliced from 2 exons. Lineage: Eukaryota; Metazoa; Chordata; Actinopteri; Characiformes; Serrasalmidae. The record is from RefSeq and is a predicted model, not a curated record.
UUCUGGUCCUGAAGGGCAUCACUAUAGUUUGGUGUUCCCUGCUUCAACUCACAAGCUAAUCAUCAAGUUCAGCUGGUGCGUUGGAGCAGCCAAAUCACUCAUUUGUGCUGGCCUCAAGGCAGUCCAGGACCAGAACUGAUUGCCUACUGGUCAACAAACUAUCUUUUACGAGCCUGGCUGUCUUUUCCAGCUAUCGCUCUGGAAUUUUGUGUGACUUCUGCACUCCUGAAGGCUCAUAAGCUUCUCCUGGUCCUCAUUCAAUGCUGUCUGCAUUUCAUCUUCAUCACUGCUAAGAUGAAGAGCUUCUGCUUCAGAUAAAUUGUAGCUAGUUUUGACUCUUCUGUAAAAUCUCUCUUUUCAUAUUGGCAUCUCGCUAGGAAAAUCUAAAAACAUUCAAACUUUCAGCAACAAAAAAGUCUAAUUGAAGGAGCGCAGUCUCUGCAUCUAAUACACAGUCCCUAAAAUGCUGGGACAGUAUGUGAAAUGCUUAUAUAAACAGAAAACACUGUAUGCUUUACCUUGUGAACUCUAUUAUUUUUUGUGAAUAUAUGUUUAAUCCAAA